CCAGUUGGCUGGGUAACCGCGCGCUUUAUAGAUGUAUUACAUCUCAAUGUGUGAGGAAAGUCCGGGCUCCACGAAAACUCGACGCCGGAUAACAUCCGGCAAAGGUGACUUUAGGGAAAGUGCCACAGAAAAUAUACCGCUUUUAUAUCAAUAAAAGUAAGGGUGAAAUGGCGAGGUAAGAGCUCACCGCAUUUUUGGCAACAAAAAUGGCAUGGUAAACCCCGUCGGGAGCAAGACCAAAUAGGGAUAGUGCUAAGCAUUAGUGCUUUAAGGUGUGUUUUCGACCUAACUAUCCGGGUAGGUUGCAUGAGAUGGCAUGUAAAUGUCAUCCUAGAUGAAUGGUUACCAAUCUAUACUGUAUAGAUAUACAGAACCCGGCUUAUAGGCCAACUGGUUUA
RNAcentral lists this RNase P RNA (398 nucleotides) under Candidatus Liberibacter americanus str. Sao Paulo. RNAcentral describes it as "Bacterial RNase P class A". It matches the Rfam family "Bacterial RNase P class A". From Rfam's summary of the family: Ribonuclease P (RNase P) is a ubiquitous endoribonuclease, found in archaea, bacteria and eukarya as well as chloroplasts and mitochondria. Lineage: Bacteria; Pseudomonadati; Pseudomonadota; Alphaproteobacteria; Hyphomicrobiales; Rhizobiaceae. The record is from Rfam by way of RNAcentral.